UACGGAGGAGGCAAGCGUUAUCCGGAAUUAUUGGGCGUAAAGCGUCCGUAGGUGGCUAGUCAAGUCUACGGUCAAAGACUGGGGCUUAACCCUGGAAAGGCCGUGGAAACUGACGAGCUAGAGUGCAGUAGGGGUAGAGGGAAUUCCCGGUGUAGCGGUGAAAUGCGUAGAGCUCGGGAAGAACAUCGGUGGCGAAAGCGCUCUACUGGACUGCAACUGACACUCAGGGACGAAAGCUAGGGGAGCGAAUGGG
Molecule: ribosomal RNA, 253 nt
Filed under: uncultured bacterium
Lineage: Bacteria
Description: partial 16S ribosomal RNA
Rfam family: Bacterial small subunit ribosomal RNA
Source: RNAcentral